This 301-nucleotide ribosomal RNA is filed under the name uncultured bacterium. RNAcentral's name for it is "partial 16S ribosomal RNA". It matches the Rfam family "Bacterial small subunit ribosomal RNA", at positions 509 to 807 of the family's 1533-position model. The record is from RNAcentral.
CAGUCGCCGCGGGAAAACGAAGGGGGCUAGCGUUGUUCGGAAUUACUGGGCGUAAAGCGCACGUAGGCGGAUAUUUAAGUCAGGGGUGAAAUCCCGCAGCUCAACUGCGGAACUGCCUUUGAUACUGGGUAUCUUGAGUAUGGAAGAGGUUAGUGGAAUUGCGAGUGUAGAGGUGAAAUUCGUAGAUAUUCGCAGGAACACCAGUGGCGAAGGCGGCUAACUGGUCCAUAACUGACGCUGAGGUGCGAAAGCGUGGGGAGCAAACAGGAUUAGAUACCCCCGUAGUCCCUGUCUCUUAUAC